Molecule: unclassified non-coding RNA, 345 nt
Filed under: fungal sp.
Lineage: Eukaryota; Fungi
Description: partial internal transcribed spacer region
Rfam family: Eukaryotic small subunit ribosomal RNA (bases 1-46)
Source: RNAcentral
AAGUCGUAACAAGGUUUCCGUAGGUGAACCUGCGGAAGGAUCAUUAACAAAUCAUUGAGCGAAAGCUCACUAACCUUUGUGAAUAGGCUUGCUGCGAAAGCACAAGUUAGAUGGGUUUGAGGGAUAUAGGCAGAGAAAAAGUGUGUGUGUGUAUGUGUGUGUGUGGGGAAGAGACGGGUAGGCGUGUGUAUAUUUGUUUACGCGCACACCUAGCCAGACACAGCCAACACAGACAGACACACACACACUGUUUCCGAGCCAACAUUAUUAUUGUCUAAUUAAUAUUGGAUUUCGAAAGAUUUCUAACAACUAAUACAACUUUUAACAAUGGAUCUCUUGGCUCUU